AUGAUUUGUAUUAUUAAAGUUCCAACGGUAAAAGAUGAGUAUGCGUCCCAUUAGCUAGAUGGUAAGGUAACGGCUUACCAUGGCUACGAUGGGUAGGGGGUCCUGAGAGGGAGAUCCCCCACACUGGUACUGAGACACGGACCAGACUCCUACGGGAGGCAGCAGUGAGGAAUAUUGGACAAUGGGCGCAAGCCUGAUCCAGCCAUGCCGCGUGCAGGAUGACGGUCCUAUGGAUUGUAAACUGCUUUUGUACAGGAAGAAACACUGGUUCGUGAACCAGCUUGACGGUACUGUAAGAAUAAGGAUCGGCUAACUCCGUG
RNAcentral lists this ribosomal RNA (320 nucleotides) under uncultured bacterium. RNAcentral's name for it is "bacterial SSU rRNA". It matches the Rfam family "Bacterial small subunit ribosomal RNA", at positions 188 to 507 of the family's 1533-position model. The record is from RNAcentral.